RNAcentral lists this small RNA (77 nucleotides) under Salmonella enterica subsp. enterica serovar Heidelberg. RNAcentral describes it as "partial RtT sRNA". It matches the Rfam family "RtT RNA", at positions 55 to 130 of the family's 130-position model. Rfam says of the family: This family represents a bacterial cis-regulatory element known as RtT RNA. RNAcentral also lists the same sequence under 29 other names. The record is from RNAcentral. Lineage: Bacteria; Pseudomonadati; Pseudomonadota; Gammaproteobacteria; Enterobacterales; Enterobacteriaceae.
CAGCGAGAAAGCGUUGCCGCAGGCAACGACCCGAAGGGCGAAGCGCGCAGCGCUGAGUCAUCCUUCCCCCACCACCA